This 342-nucleotide ribosomal RNA is filed under the name uncultured bacterium. Its description in RNAcentral is "bacterial SSU rRNA". It matches the Rfam family "Bacterial small subunit ribosomal RNA", at positions 28 to 371 of the family's 1533-position model. The record is from RNAcentral.
GACGAACGCUGGCGGCGUGCUUAACACAUGCAAGUCGAGCGGUAAGGCCCUUUCGGGGGUACACGAGCGGCGAACGGGUGAGUAACACGUGGGUGACCUGCCCUCAGCUCUGGGAUAAGCCUGGGAAACCGGGUCUAAUACUGGAUAUGACUCCAUGACGCAUGUUGUGGGGUGGAAAGCCUUGUGCGGCUGAGGAUGGGGCCCGCGGCCUAUCAGCUUGUUGGUGGGGUGAGGCCUACCAAGGCGACGACGGGUAGCCGGCCUGAGAGGGCGACCGGCCACACUGGGACUGAGACACGGCCCAGACUCCUACGGGAGGCAGCAGUGGGGAAUCUUGCGCAA